UACGGGGGGAGCAAGCGUUGUUCGGAAUUACUGGGCGUAAAGGGCGCGUAGGCGGCCUGUUAAGUCGAACGUGAAAUCCCUGGGCUCAACCCAGGAACUGCGUCCGAUACUGGCAGGCUUGAAUUCGGGAGAGGGAUGCGGAAUUCCAGGUGUAGCGGUGAAAUGCGUAGAUAUCUGGAGGAACCCCGGUGGCGAAGUCGGCAUCCUGGACCGAUAUUGACGCUGAGGCGCGAAAGCCAGGGGAGCAAACGGG
This 253-nucleotide ribosomal RNA is filed under the name uncultured bacterium. Its description in RNAcentral is "partial 16S ribosomal RNA". It matches the Rfam family "Bacterial small subunit ribosomal RNA", at positions 524 to 776 of the family's 1533-position model. The record is from RNAcentral.